UACGUAGGGGGCAAGCGUUGUCCGGAUUCAUUGGGCGUAAAGAGCGUGUAGGCGGCCAGGUAGGUCGGUUGUGAAAACUGGAGGCUCAACCUUCAGAGGUCGACCGAAACCAUCUGGCUAGAGUCCGGGAGAGGAGAGUGGAAUUCCUGGUGUAGCGGUGAAAUGCGUAGAUAUCAGGAGGAACACCGGUGGUGUAGACGGCGCACUGGACCGUAACUGACGCUGAGACACGAAAGCGUGGGUAGCAAACAGG
Molecule: ribosomal RNA, 253 nt
Filed under: uncultured bacterium
Lineage: Bacteria
Description: partial 16S ribosomal RNA
Rfam family: Bacterial small subunit ribosomal RNA
Source: RNAcentral